UACGUAGGGUGCAAGCGUUGUCCGGAAUCAUUGGGCGUAAAGAGCGCGUAGGCGGCUUGUUACGUCGACUGUGAAAACCCGGGGCUCAACUCCGGGCCUGCAGUCGAUACGGGCUGGCUUGAGUGCGGUAGGGGAGACUGGAAUUCCUGGUGUAGCGGUGAAAUGCGCAGAUAUCAGGAGGAACACCGGUGGCGAAGGCGGGUCGCUGGGCCGAAAUUGACGCUGAGGAGCGAAAGCGUGGGGAGCAAACAGG
Molecule: ribosomal RNA, 253 nt
Filed under: uncultured bacterium
Lineage: Bacteria
Description: partial 16S ribosomal RNA
Rfam family: Bacterial small subunit ribosomal RNA
Source: RNAcentral